UUGGUGAUAUACCUCUGAUGCCUAAAGUCUGAGUCAACGCCCUAACCCAAAAUUUUUACUCUCCCUCGCAAACUCUCUCUGAAACUUCAGCUCCCUCUCAAACUCUAGCCCCAAUUCUUCUAACUCCCUCUCAAUUUUUUCACUCCCUCUGAACCUGUACCCUAAAAAUUCAUCUCCUGAACAAAACUCUCCUUCAGUCCCUCUGAAACUCUCUCUUUCUUCUCUCUCCUCCAUCACUGCGCCAUUCCUGCUAAAACCCUCAGAUGCUCAACCAUUACGAUUCACAAUGAGAAUCAUUCUUCCAUUCGAUGAUUCUGAAGCCAGCUCACACAAUUUCUCAAGCUCAGACGCUCAGACGGAAGUUUAAGUCGACGAUUGUGUGAUUUCAUCUCUCAAUGAAGCAUUUCCCUUUCCCCCAAAAGUUAGGGUUUUGAUCACACCCCACACCUCCUCUUAUGAUCUAGAUCUGAUGCUACGCAGCCACCAUCUUCCUAGAACUCUGCUUUACUCUCAACGACUCUGCAAAGAAGUAUCCAAAUAAUCCAAUACUUGGUAUUGAUCUCCAUCACUUAGAGCACCAGCAUCCCUCCACCUCUAGGUUGCUCACCCUCAUUUAGGAAAAAUGUGGUUCUAGCACAUACAAUAGUAUCCGUUGUCGUGGCUGCAGUAAUUGAUCUGCAAUUGUAUUUCAGACAGUUGGUAGGAAAGCGUUGAGAUGGGUAUUAGUGAGCCUUGGAUUACUAAAGCAUUGAAGAUGGAAUUUCAUCUCAUUGGAUCGUCCCCAAGAGUAGCCUCAAGAGUAACAUAUAAUUACUAGAUAGCUUAGUUCAUUUCAUUAUGUUUUGUUUGCAUUGUAAAUGUGUUUUUAAAGUAUAACAUUUAUUGUAUAUUAAAUUAGUCUAUCUAACUAUAUUAUAAUGGAUGUAGUGCAGGGUCAUUGAGGUUUUUGGGAAUACGGUCUUCAUCGAUGCUAGCUUAGUUUCUAAUAUGUUUAGUUUGUUAUGUGUUGACAAGUGGUUUUGCUAUUUUAUAAGUAUAAUUUGUCAGUUUAGGUUUUGAAUUGUUCUUUUAUCUAAGAUAGAUCAUUUAUUAGUUUGGGUAGUUUGUUGGAAGUUGCAAUGAAACUUAACUGUUGAAAUUUCAGAAAUGAGCUUCCUUUCUGUAGCGUUUUAAAAGUUCUCCUCUUCUUUCCCCCAUUAUUUACCAGAGUGAAGAGGGUAAAAAUUUUGUUUAAGGUUUAUGUCGUGGAUCUUUUCCGACCUGUUUUUGUGUGUAAUUUUGGCACUCUGUUUUCUAUUAUUAUUUAUAUUAAAGCCCUAUCACUGACAAAAUAUUAUUUGAAAAUGAAUGUUUAGAUGUUGGUAUUUCAAUAUUGAGAAGAUUUUUGUAUCCAAAGGCACAUUUGACAAAGAAAGAAGCCCACUGAAAGGAAGGCUUUGAAACUUGCAAAAAGAGUGAUUGCUUGUCUUGAUGUGAGGACGAAUGACAAAGGAGAUCUUGUUGUAACCAAAGGCGACCAAUAUGAUGUAAGAGAGCAUACAAAAGAGAAUGAGAGCUAGAAGGAAAGACACGUACACCCAAAUGGAAUUGGAUGAGGUGCGAGAAGAAUUAGCAAGUCAUGUCCUAGAAUGGCUUUUUGAUUAAGCUAAACAUUCCUUCAUUUUACAUUGCUUUCUAGCUAGUAUUUUGCUUAUGCAUAGACAAGUAUGGAUAAUUUGUGGUGUAGGGCUGGUAAAUUUGUGAUUUGGAUGUGACAA
Prunus avium (sweet cherry) is the source of this 1757-nucleotide long non-coding RNA. RefSeq lists it as uncharacterized. NCBI's taxonomy places the organism in Eukaryota, Viridiplantae, Streptophyta, Magnoliopsida, Rosales, Rosaceae. The record is from RefSeq and is a predicted model, not a curated record.